UGAAGACAGUUGUUUCUUCUACGUUACCUCCAAGGUUCAAGGCAUCCUCCAAGGAGCUUGGUGUGAGGUUCAGGAAGGCCACAAUGAACUGCUGGCACAGGGGGCCAUCAGGCCUUGCAGCAGCCCAGUGCUGGAUGCAGGCCCUGCAGUAGGUGUGCCCACUGGGGACAACACCAACAGAGAUAGAUGAAGCACUCCUCCUCCAUUAGGCCCUCUACCAUCUCCCUGUACCUCCUGGCAGAUAUCCACAGCUUCCCCAGCACAGAGGGGCUCAGGUGGCCUGCUGGAGACUGCCUCCCACAGAGGGGAACUUGGUAGCCACCCCCUGCUGUGAGGUCGUGGUGUAACAGUGACCCACCAGUGACAUCACAAGGCAGACAGAUACAGGCCUACCUUUGCAUCUCAGUAGCUGUCACCUCCAGGGUUAGGACAUCCAUUAUACCCCCUAGACAACUUAAUCUAGGGCCUUACAAUCACUUGAAAAAAAAGUUCAGGCUUAACACCUACCCUUAAAUCUCUUACUGUUUAGGCAGUCCCCGUUAUUCUAUUACUAUCUACCAGUGCAAAAAGACACCCCCCUCUAGUUGAUAAGCUCCUUUUAGAUCUGGAUGCAGUACUGCAGAUGGGGCCUCACAAGAACAAAGCAGAGGCAAAACAAUCAUCUCCCUCGUCCUGCUGGCCACCUGUCUUUCAAUACAACCCAGCCUUCCAGACUGCAAGCACAUGCUGGUAAGUUGUCGCAGUGGCCUGUGAAGACGUCCAUCUGCUUUCAGCAUUUCCAAGGAUCUCACUUUGCUUCGUGGCGCCGUUCAGAAAAAUCAGAAGCCCAGCACUUCAGCUCUCCUAAGGUCUGCGAGAUGCAAGAGAGUUGCAAGUGAUAGAUAUUAAAGGACUAGCUGGUGGG
Molecule: non-coding RNA, 904 nt
Organism: Coturnix japonica (Japanese quail)
Lineage: Eukaryota; Metazoa; Chordata; Aves; Galliformes; Phasianidae
Source: RefSeq, a predicted model, not a curated record